RNAcentral lists this ribosomal RNA (1240 nucleotides) under metagenome. Its description in RNAcentral is "bacterial LSU rRNA". It matches the Rfam family "Bacterial large subunit ribosomal RNA", at positions 1564 to 2817 of the family's 2925-position model. The record is from RNAcentral.
UGAAUACGAGACGCUAAGGCGUCGAAGUAGUGUAUAUCAUACUUCCAAGAAAAGCUUGCACUGUCAUAGAUAAAAAACGCCUGUACCAUAACCGACACAGGUGGGUUAGAGUAUACUAAGGGGCGCGGGAUAACUCUCUCUAAGGAACUCGGCAAAAUAACUCCGUAACUUCGGGAGAAGGAGUGCCUUAUUCGUAAGGUUGCAAUAACAAGAUCCAAGCAACUGUUUAUCAAAAACACAGGUCUCCGCUAAGUCGUAAGACGAUGUAUGGGGGCUGACGCCUGCCCAGUGCCAGAAGGUUAAAGAAGUUGGUUAGCAAUUGCGAAGCUGAUAACUGAAGCCCUGGUGAACGGCGGCCGUAACAAUAACGGUCCUAAGGUAGCGAAAUUCCUUGUCGGGUAAGUUCCGACCCGCACGAAAGGCGUAAUGAUUUGGAUACUGUCUCGGAGAGGGGCUCGGUGAAAUAGACUUGUCUGUGAAGAUGCGGACUACCUGCACCAGGACAGAAAGACCCUAUGAAGCUUUACUGUAACUUGAAAUUGAAAUUGGACUUUAUUCGCGCAGUAUAGGUGGGAGGCGUUGAUUAUAAUCUUGUGGGAUUAUUGGAGCCAUCAGUGAGAUACCACUCUUGUAAUGUUAGAUUUCUAACUUUGAAUCAUUAUCUGGUCAAAGAACAGUUUCAGGCGGGCAGUUUGACUGGGGCGGUCGCCUCCUAAACGGUAACGGAGGCGUACAAAGGUUUCCUCUGAACGGUUAGAAAUCGUAUCUAGAGUGUAAAGGCAUAAGGAAGCUUGACUGUGAGACCUACAAGUCGAGCAGGGACGAAAGUCGGUCUUAGUGAUCUGACGGUACUGAGUGGAAAGGCCGUCACUCAACGGAUAAAAGUUACUCUAGGAUAACAGGCUGAUCUCCCCCAAGAGUUCACAUCGACGGGGAGGUUUGGCACCUCGAUGUCGGCUCAUCGCAUCCUGGGGCGGUAGUACGUCCCAAGGGUUGGGCUGUUCGCCCAUGAAAGCGGUACGCGAGCUGGGUUCAGAACGUCGUGAGACAGUUCGGUCCAUAUCCGGUGUAGGCGUUAGAAUAUUGAGAGGAGCCUUCUUUAGUACGAGAGGACCGAGAAGGACAUACCUCUGGUGUACCAGUUAUCGUGCCAACGGUAAACGCUGGGUAGCUAUGUAUGGAGUGGAUAACCGCUGAAAGCAUCUAAGUGGGAAGCCCACCUCAAGAUAAGUAUUCUCAU